CCUACGGGUGGCAGCAGUGGGGGAUAUUGCACAAUGGGGGGAACCCUGAUGCAGCGACGCCGCGUGAGUGAAGAAGUAAUUCGUUAUGUAAAGCUCUAUCAGCAGGGAAGAAUAAAUGACGGUACCUGAGUACGAAGCCCCGGCUAACUACGUGCCAGCAGCCGCGGUAAUACGUAGGGGGCAAGCGGUAUCCGGAUUUAUUGGGUUAAAAGUGUGCGCAGGCGGGAUGUCAAGUCAGCGGUAAAAUUUCGGGGCACAACCCCGUCGUGCCGUUGAAACUGGCGUUCUUGAGUGAGCGAGAAGUAUGCGGAAUGCGUGGUGUAGCGGUGAAAUGCAUAGAUAUCACGCAGAACUCCGAUUGCGAAGGCAGCAUACUGGCGCUCAACUGACGCUCAUGCACGAAAGCGUGGGUAUCGAACAGGAUUAGAUACCCGUGUAGUC
RNAcentral lists this ribosomal RNA (441 nucleotides) under uncultured bacterium. RNAcentral's name for it is "partial 16S ribosomal RNA". It matches the Rfam family "Bacterial small subunit ribosomal RNA", at positions 338 to 795 of the family's 1533-position model. The record is from RNAcentral.